GAGUUUGCUUCUGGCUCAGGAUGAACGCUGGCGGCGUGCUUAACACAUGCAAGUCGAACGGGGAUGCCAUUUUCGAGGUGAUUAGUUUACUAAGAGCCAAGAUGUUGGCAUCUUAGUGGCGGACGGGUGAGUAACGUGUGGGUAACCUGCCUUAUACAGGGGGAUAACACUUAGAAAUAGGUGCUAAUACCGCAUAAGCGCACGGGGCUGCAUGGCCCAGUGUGAAAAACUCCGGUGGUAUAAGAUGGACCCGCGUCUGAUUAGCUUGUUGGCGGGGUAACGGCCCACCAAGGCGACGAUCAGUAGCCGGCCUGAGAGGGUGGACGGCCACAUUGGGACUGAGACACGGCCCAAACUCCUACGGGAGGCAGCAGUGGGGAAUAUUGGACAAUGGGGGGAACCCUGAUCCAGCGACGCCGCGUGAGUGAAGAAGUAUUUCGGUAUGUAAAGCUCUAUCAGCAGGGAAGAAAGAAAUGACGGUACCCGACUUAGAAAGCCCCCGGCUACUACGUGCCAGCAGCCCGCGGUAAUACGUAGGGGGCAAGCGGUUAUCCGGAUUUACUGGGUGGAAAGGGAACGUAAAACGGUUACCCCAGUCUGGAAUUGAAGGGCGGGGCCCCAACCCCCCAACUGGUUUUGAAACCGUGAAAACUGGAAGGCCAGAAAAGAAAAGUGGGGAUUCC
This 683-nucleotide ribosomal RNA is filed under the name uncultured bacterium. RNAcentral describes it as "bacterial SSU rRNA". It matches the Rfam family "Bacterial small subunit ribosomal RNA", at positions 9 to 670 of the family's 1533-position model. The record is from RNAcentral.